UCCUCCGUGGCGCAAUUGGCUAGCGCGGUAUGUGGUUCUCUCGAUCAUUAUGGCUCAUGGACUAAUCCCUUUCAAGUCAGACUGUUAUCCCACGGUGCAUCUGGAGGCUGUCAGUUCAAUCCUGACCGGAGGAG
Non-coding RNA from Peltaster fructicola, 134 nucleotides. The record is from the annotation of a GenBank genome assembly. Lineage: Eukaryota; Fungi; Ascomycota; Dothideomycetes.